Molecule: ribosomal RNA, 548 nt
Filed under: Botryosphaeria dothidea
Lineage: Eukaryota; Fungi; Ascomycota; Dothideomycetes; Botryosphaeriales; Botryosphaeriaceae
Description: eukaryotic LSU rRNA
Rfam family: 5.8S ribosomal RNA (bases 193-346)
Source: RNAcentral
AAGGAUCAUUACCGAGUUGAUUCGGGCUCCGGCCCGAUCCUCCCACCCUUUGUGUACCUACCUCUGUUGCUUUGGCGGGCCGCGGUCCUCCGCGGCCGCCCCCCCUCCCCGGGGGGGUGGCCAGCGCCCGCCAGAGGACCAUCAAACUCCAGUCAGUAAACGAUGCAGUCUGAAAAACAUUUAAUAAACUAAAACUUUCAACAACGGAUCUCUUGGUUCUGGCAUCGAUGAAGAACGCAGCGAAAUGCGAUAAGUAAUGUGAAUUGCAGAAUUCAGUGAAUCAUCGAAUCUUUGAACGCACAUUGCGCCCUUUGGUAUUCCGAAGGGCAUGCCUGUUCGAGCGUCAUUACAACCCUCAAGCUCUGCUUGGUAUUGGGCACCGUCCUUUGCGGGCGCGCCUCAAAGACCUCGGCGGUGGCGUCUUGCCUCAAGCGUAGUAGAACAUACAUCUCGCUUCGGAGCGCAGGGCGUCGCCCGCCGGACGAACCUUCUGAACUUUUCUCAAGGUUGACCUCGGAUCAGGUAGGGAUACCCGUCCCUGAACUUAA